UUUCACAUGAUGAGUCAGUGACCAAGUGUGAAUGUUCUUGUACCGGUCCAUUGCAGUUGGGACACAUGAGUGUACAUAAAUAUGAGCACAGAACAGGUACUUCUCAGUCUGUGUUGGGCGAUCUUAGAUUACAAUUAAAAAGACCUCGCAGCAGAACUCGCAAUGAUUCCUCUAGUUAUCCUGUGGUCUGGGCUUCUUCUGUACCUUCCUCCUCCAACCAGCCCGGCAUGCUUUCUGGGUAAAGAAGCAGAGUGUCGAGAUGCAAAGAGAGAAGCAGAAGCAGAGUGUGCCAGGAUCUGACUUGGCUGGAGAGGGUUUCGACAUAACUAAGAUGCAACGCCUGGGCACUUUUGUCAUCGACAUGAGUAAGUGGGAGCUCAAGAAUAACACAUGUAACCUGUGCAAAAACCCAUUCAUGCAGAACAAAAAGCAGAAGCUCCCGGUGUCUGUGCUUUACUGGAGGGCCACCCAAAAGUGCAAAAGGUCAUUAUCCAGCUCCAUUUAUGAGUCCAGCGAGUCCCUGGUCAGUUCCAGCACCUCCUCCGUAGAGAACAACUGGAAAGUCGGCCUGGGAAUAGGCAACAUGGUAAGUAAGAUGUCGGUGAUGUUGGCUGGAACGAACUCCAGACUCGCUGAGUAUUCAAUGGCAAAGACCAAAAAGGACAAGUUCAGCUUCAUCAAGCAGUCUACAUCCUGCGGAUACUAUGGAUACAGAAUUAGCAGCCGCUCUCCUCUUCAUCACGAGCUAAGUUAUGAAUUAACCACACUUCCGGAGACAUAUGACAACCAAACAAAAGAAAGCUACUUGUCACUUAUUGAAAAGUUUGGCACACAUUACACUGUCCAUGUGAAACUGGGUGGAACAGUGCAAUCUGUGACCAGUGUAAAAGAAUGCAUGGCUACUCUACAGGACCUCAGUACGGAUGAGGUCAAAACAUGUCUGGACGUCGAGGCAUCUGCAAGUGUAAUGGGGAGGAUCAGCAUAGACACGGCAUACCGUCACUGUAAAGAGAGCAAAGACAAAAAACUGAGCAAGCACAGUUUUUCUAACAGUUUUACUGACAGGUUAACUGAAAUCACGGGUGGCCAUGCUCAAGACACAGCGCUCCUCUUCUCAGCCAGUAAUGACCCUGGUGCUUUCAAUCAGUGGCUGUCCACAGUGCCAGAAAAACCAGAAAUUAUUUCCUUUUCACUGAAGCCCCUCCAUAUGUUGCUGCCAGUCAAGGACCCAAAAUAUGAGCAGUUACGCCGAGCCAUUCGUGACUACAUACUGCAGAGGGCCCUUUGGAAGAAAUGCUCUACACCUUGCAAGGCCGGUAUCGCAACUAACCCCAAAGAGCCCUGUGUGUGCACCUGUCAUAACAACCCUGGAGUUAAAGCAAACUGCUGCCCUGCACAGCUCGGACUUGCUCAGAUUAGUGUAACUGUGAUGAAGGCAACAGGUCUGUGGGGAGAUUACUUCUCACAGACUGAUGGCUAUGUCAAGGUCCUGAGAAAUCAUAAGUUCUUUCUAGGGGAAACAUCAGUGAUUUGGAACCAAAACUCACCAACCUGGAACUGGAAUUUUGAUCUCGGCAGUUUCGUUCUCUCUCAGUUUGGGGGGCUGAGACUAGAAGUGUGGGAUAGGGACAACAAGUGGGACGAUGACCUCCUGGGGGCGUGCAACAUACAACUAAAAGCCGGGGUAAAAAGCGACUUCUGUCGACUUAACCAUGGUUUGCUGUACUACAAAACGAAUGUAACUUGUGCUCCUAGUUUAGCUGGCCCCUCAUGCACCCAGUACGUGGGCUCUCCGAUGGCCUCCCAUCUAGAGAAGGUAUAUGUGUCACGACACGCCCGUCCCAUCCCCAAAGAUGAGCUGGUGAAAAUGGGGGUGCUUUUAGAUGAGCGCCGCUUUUUGUUAAGUCAAACCAGUGAUCCUAAAAGCAAAACGCAGACUUUGUGAAAGCUUAUCAUCAAAGCACAAUAAAAUAAGUAAAAAAAAAAAAAAAAUCUUCAAAUAAAAUGUAUAAAAAAUUGUGUUUUGCAUCUCAGCAUUAAAGUGAUGGAUAACUAUCCCUUUAACAUUUUAUUAUCGAUGCUUAAUUAGCUUUUUCUUUUAUUUUUGCUAUUCAGAUCUUUAAUACGAUCUGUGGGUGUUUGCUUUAUUCUCUCAGUAUGCUUUGCACUUACUUGCAUGCAAAUUUUUGUGGUUAAUAAAACAAUCAUGAAAACAGCA
Cyprinus carpio (common carp) is the source of this 2218-nucleotide RNA transcript. It is a transcript of the gene named perforin-1-like, with no coding region annotated. Lineage: Eukaryota; Metazoa; Chordata; Actinopteri; Cypriniformes; Cyprinidae. The record is from RefSeq and is a predicted model, not a curated record. The transcript has 5 exons.